RNAcentral lists this unclassified non-coding RNA (231 nucleotides) under Hevea brasiliensis (rubber tree). Lineage: Eukaryota; Viridiplantae; Streptophyta; Magnoliopsida; Malpighiales; Euphorbiaceae. The record is from RNAcentral.
CGCUGCUAAGUUGGUUUCCAGUUAGGUAGGAAUUGUGACCAGUAUAUAUGAAAUAGUGGGAUAAUGGUUUUGUCAUAUCGUGGUGAACCUGGUUUUCUCGAAUAGGAGGAUUGAGACCUGCAGAGAACAAAUAAUGGUGAAAAUCGUCAAGAGUGAGGGCGUGCCUGGUCAACUUGGCAAUGUGAAGCCUCUUGUUCAAAAUCUGCUCCACGAUCUUCUCAGCGUCGGCGG